Non-coding RNA from Cordylochernes scorpioides, 76 nucleotides. Lineage: Eukaryota; Metazoa; Arthropoda; Arachnida; Pseudoscorpiones; Chernetidae. The record is from the annotation of a GenBank genome assembly.
GGUCCUGUGGCCUAGUGGUCAUGGCAUCUGCCCGGUAAGCGGAAGGUCGUGGGUUCGAUUCCCAUCCCUUGACACU